CAACGCGACCCCAGGUCAGGCGG
Molecule: ribosomal RNA, 23 nt
Filed under: Ficus benjamina (weeping fig)
Lineage: Eukaryota; Viridiplantae; Streptophyta; Magnoliopsida; Rosales; Moraceae
Also listed under: 3 other names
Description: partial 28S ribosomal RNA
Source: RNAcentral